Molecule: small nucleolar RNA, 92 nt
Organism: Lactuca sativa (garden lettuce)
Lineage: Eukaryota; Viridiplantae; Streptophyta; Magnoliopsida; Asterales; Asteraceae
Source: RefSeq, a predicted model, not a curated record
UUCUUGCAGUGAUGAUUAAUUAUACAGCUUUAAGCCAGUUCUGCUUCUGAGAAUUCAUGAUUGAUAGAGCUGUUUUUUCCUCUGAGCUUUGA